RNAcentral lists this ribosomal RNA (253 nucleotides) under uncultured bacterium. RNAcentral's name for it is "partial 16S ribosomal RNA". It matches the Rfam family "Bacterial small subunit ribosomal RNA", at positions 524 to 776 of the family's 1533-position model. The record is from RNAcentral.
UACGUAGGGGGCUAGCGUUGUCCGGAAUCAUUGGGCGUAAAGCGCGUGUAGGCGGUUCGGUAAGUCCGCUGUGAAAGUCGGGGGCUCAACCCUCGAAAGCCGGUGGAAACUGUCGGGCUAGAGUACGGAAGAGGCGAGUGGAAUUCCUGGUGUAGCGGUGAAAUGCGCAGAUAUCAGGAGGAACACCUAUUGCGAAGGCAGCUCGCUGGGACGUUACUGACGCUGAGACGCGAAAGCGUGGGGAGCAAACAGG